RNAcentral lists this ribosomal RNA (600 nucleotides) under Bacillus sp. (in: firmicutes). RNAcentral describes it as "bacterial SSU rRNA". It matches the Rfam family "Bacterial small subunit ribosomal RNA", at positions 56 to 637 of the family's 1533-position model. The record is from RNAcentral. Lineage: Bacteria; Bacillati; Bacillota; Bacilli; Caryophanales; Bacillaceae.
UGCAGUCGAGCGAAUGGAUUGAGAGCUUGCUCUCAAGAAGUUAGCGGCGGACGGGUGAGUAACACGUGGGUAACCUGCCCAUAAGACUGGGAUAACUCCGGGAAACCGGGGCUAAUACCGGAUAAUAUUUUGAACUGCAUGGUUCGAAAUUGAAAGGCGGCUUCGGCUGUCACUUAUGGAUGGACCCGCGUCGCAUUAGCUAGUUGGUGAGGUAACGGCUCACCAAGGCAACGAUGCGUAGCCGACCUGAGAGGGUGAUCGGCCACACUGGGACUGAGACACGGCCCAGACUCCUACGGGAGGCAGCAGUAGGGAAUCUUCCGCAAUGGACGAAAGUCUGACGGAGCAACGCCGCGUGAGUGAUGAAGGCUUUCGGGUCGUAAAACUCUGUUGUUAGGGAAGAACAAGUGCUAGUUGAAUAAGCUGGCACCUUGACGGUACCUAACCAGAAAGCCACGGCUAACUACGUGCCAGCAGCCGCGGUAAUACGUAGGUGGCAAGCGUUAUCCGGAAUUAUUGGGCGUAAAGCGCGCGCAGGUGGUUUCUUAAGUCUGAUGUGAAAGCCCACGGCUCAACCGUGGAGGGUCAUUGGAAACUGGG